CCCACCAGCAGCUUGCCCCAAGGAAGUUAGGUGUAGUGUAUUUAAAGAAUGGAAGCAACUGGUGCUUACCACCAGAGGCAAAUGCCAGCAACCUCCUUAAAGGAGCAGAAAAAUUAGCAUGCACCUACACAAAUUUAACAGGAAGAGGAACAGCAGUGAAAGGAUACACAGAAAUACAUGCUUAUGAACCUGGAAGCCACCUUAACAACACAUACGUGCGCUUACUUCAUGGUGUAGGAAACGCACUUGGGCACACUGAUUGCUGGAUCUGCACUCAUGGACCCAGCCAUGCAGCUGAGCCUUUCCCCAUGAGAUCCCACCCCUCAACGAUAAGCUGGUGGUCUCCGGAAACAAUAAUAAAAGCUUAUCAUACAGGUUACAAAACUGGAUGGGUGGCGGAAUGGAAUAGCACACAAGCCUCUAAGGGACAAGGUGCAGUAAACCUCUCGACCAUGAGNAUUAGUCGUGAACGGUUUGAAGUUACACCNUAUGGUAAAGCAAUUAUCUGUGUACAAAUGGAUUAUGACCGGGCAAACACAAAUAAUAUUUGGGUAGGGGAACAUAAAAAUUGUGUGUAUACGUUUAAGGUCAAAAGAAAUAGAACAGGUUUGUGGAAAGGAGGACGAUGGGAAGGAGUGCCAGNCCCAUUGCAGGCACCGGAUAAUUCAGAACCAGCAAAAGUUGGCAACCAGAAAAAGGGGGGUUCUCCUGGUUUGCCCUACUCUGACAUAUUUCCCUCCAGCCACCACACCAACAGAGGAAGGAGGCAAAUAAAUCCCCAAGAAACCCACAUCACCGAUUGGGUAGAUUCUGAGGAAAAUCGGAUACCUGUUUUCAAAAACCUGUCUUGUGGAAAUAACCAUUUCCGCAUUAUAAAACUGGAAAUGGAACCCCAACCACUUUAUGUGGUGGAGCAAGAAAUGUGGCCUGAUGAUUUCAUAUCUCAACCCACUUGCGAAGAAAUAACCAAAUGGUUGUUCUGGGAUGGUUCAGUAAGCAAAUACUGGACCCAGCCCUUAUAUUGGGUUGGUUUAAACAUAUUUCAUAGAAAAGGGUUUUUCAAAGGGCUUCCCUUUAGGUUCAAUUACCCUUCUCAAUUUGUUUUUGAACCAUCAGCUCUAAGUAUAGAAACAAAGGGAGUCUAUUGGUUGUGCGGAGCCUUUGCCUGGAAAGUAUUGCCUGAGGAAUGGGGAGGAACAUGCACCUUAGGAGGCAUUGGAAUGGGGGGUACUUUGAGGAAAUCAAUUNCCAACCCCCGGCAUCGGGAGCCCCGUGAAAUCACAAGAUGGGUCCAGUUUUGGGGACUCAUUUCACCUCGGUAUGGGGUUCAAGUGGCAUUCGCAGAAAUACGAAACAUCUCAG
Molecule: long non-coding RNA, 1362 nt
Filed under: Salvator merianae (Argentine black and white tegu)
Lineage: Eukaryota; Metazoa; Chordata; Lepidosauria; Squamata; Teiidae
Description: lncRNA (ENSSMRG00000000241.1)
Source: RNAcentral